AUACGGAGGGUCCAAGCGUUAUCCGGAAUCAUUGGGUUUAAAGGGUCCGCAGGCGGUCAAUUAAGUCAGAGGUGAAAGCCCAUCGCUCAACGAUGGAACUGCCUUUGAUACUGGUUGACUUGAGUUAUACGGAAGUAGAUAGAAUAAGUAGUGUAGCGGUGAAAUGCAUAGAUAUUACUUAGAAUACCGAUUGCGAAGGCAGUCUACUACGUAUAUACUGACGCUGAGGGACGAAAGCGUGGGGAACGAACAGGAUUAGAUACCCUAGUAGUCC
This 274-nucleotide ribosomal RNA is filed under the name uncultured bacterium. Its description in RNAcentral is "partial 16S ribosomal RNA". It matches the Rfam family "Bacterial small subunit ribosomal RNA", at positions 523 to 796 of the family's 1533-position model. The record is from RNAcentral.